This 177-nucleotide unclassified non-coding RNA is filed under the name uncultured Xylariaceae. RNAcentral describes it as "sequence contains ITS2". The record is from RNAcentral. Lineage: Eukaryota; Fungi; Ascomycota; Sordariomycetes; Xylariales; Xylariaceae.
CAACCCUUAAGCCCUUGUUGCUUAGUGUUGGGAGCCUACUACGGUUAGCGUGCGUAGUUCCCCAAAGUGAGUGGUAGAGACGGUUUGUGCUCUAGGUGUAGUAGAUUUUCUUUAUCUCGCCUAUAGCCGGGCCUAUCUCUCGCCGUAAAACCCGCUAUAUUUUAGCGCAUCUUAUAA